AUGGAGACCCUCCUCUCCCCCUCCGCAUUGCUCGGCCCGCUCCGGGGCUCCAGGAGCAGGAAGCCAGCGGCCCCCGCCGCCGUCUCCUGCUCGCUCAAGAAGCAGGCGCAGGCGGGCGUCGCCUGGCGUGGCGACGGCGACGGCGACGGCGGCGUCGGGAGCUGGGCGUCGUUCCUGCACCACGGCCUCGCCGCCGCGGCGCUGUCCCUGGCCCUCACGCUGUCGCCGGCGCCCGCGCCGGCCGCGGCGUCGGAGUUCGACGUGCUCAACGACGGGCCGCCGGCCGACACGUACGUGGUGGACGACGCCGGCGUGCUGAGCCGCGUGACCAAGUCCGACGUCAAGCGCCUCGCCCGGGACCUCGAGGCCCGCAAGAACAUCCGGAUCAACUUCGUCACCGUCCGCAAGCUCACUAGCAAAGCCGACGCGUUCGAGUACGCGGACCAAGUGCUGGAGAAGUGGUACCCGACGGUGGAGGACGGCAGCAACAAGGGGAUCGUGGUGCUGGUCACCAGCCAGAAGGAGGGCGCCAUCACCGGCGGCCCGGCCUUCGUGCAGGCCGUCGGCGACGCCAUCCUCGACGCCACCGUCUCCGAGAACCUCCCAGUGCUGGCGACGGACGAGAAGUACAACGAGGCCAUCUUCUCGACGGCGAAGCGGCUGGUGGCGGCGAUCGACGGGCUGCCGGACCCGGGCGGGCCGGCGUUCCAGGAGAGCAAGCGGGAGUCCAACUUCAAGAGCAAGGAGGAGACGGAGGAGAAGCGCGGGCAGUUCACGCUCGUCGUCGGCGGCCUGCUCGUCAUCGCCUUCGUCGUGCCCAUGGCGCAGUACUAUGCCUACAUCUCCAAGAAGUGA
This 855-nucleotide ribosomal RNA is filed under the name Triticum aestivum (bread wheat). RNAcentral's name for it is "partial small subunit ribosomal RNA". Lineage: Eukaryota; Viridiplantae; Streptophyta; Magnoliopsida; Poales; Poaceae. The record is from RNAcentral.